RNAcentral lists this ribosomal RNA (471 nucleotides) under uncultured bacterium. RNAcentral describes it as "SSU rRNA". It matches the Rfam family "Bacterial small subunit ribosomal RNA", at positions 26 to 518 of the family's 1533-position model. The record is from RNAcentral.
AGGACGAACGCUGGCGGCGUGCUUAACACAUGCAAGUCGAGCGGAAAGGCCCUUCGGGGUACUCGAGCGGCGAACGGGUGAGUAACACGUGAGUAAUCUGCCCUUAGCUCUGGGAUAGCUCCGGGAAACCGGGAUUAAUACCAGAUACGACCACUUUAGACAUCUGCCGUGGUGGAAAGAAUUUCGGCUAAGGAUGAGCUCGCGGCCUAUCAGCUUGUUGGUGGGGUAACGGCCUACCAAGGCGACGACGGGUAGCCGGCCUGAGAGGGCGACCGGCCACGACUGGGACUGAGACACGGCCCAGACUCCUACGGGAGGCAGCAGUGGGGAAUAUUGCGCAAUGGGCGAAAGCCUGACGCAGCGACGCCGCGUGGAGGAUGAAGUCCCUUGGGACGUAAACUCCUUUCGAUCGGGACGAUAAUGACGGUACCGAGAGAAGAACGCCCCGGCUAACUUCGUGCCAGCAGCCGC